CAAUGGAGCCUUUCAGGCAUCCUCUCCCAAACUUCAUACCCGGCUGGUUCGCCAGCCGGGUUUUUUCUUGCCUGCA
Molecule: small RNA, 76 nt
Filed under: Citromicrobium sp. RCC1897
Lineage: Bacteria; Pseudomonadati; Pseudomonadota; Alphaproteobacteria; Sphingomonadales; Sphingomonadaceae
Description: Makes More Granules Regulator RNA (mmgR)
Rfam family: Makes More Granules Regulator RNA (mmgR)
About the family: SuhB later renamed mmgR (makes more granules regulator) was a putative non-coding RNA found multiple times in the Agrobacterium tumefaciens genome and related alpha-proteobacteria. Other non-coding RNAs uncovered in the same analysis include: speF, ybhL, metA, and serC.
Source: Rfam by way of RNAcentral